RNAcentral lists this ribosomal RNA (471 nucleotides) under uncultured bacterium. Its description in RNAcentral is "bacterial SSU rRNA". It matches the Rfam family "Bacterial small subunit ribosomal RNA", at positions 30 to 504 of the family's 1533-position model. The record is from RNAcentral.
UGAACGUUGGCGGCGUGGAUUAGGCAUGCAAGUCGUGCGAGAAGGGUUUGGUGCUUGCAUUGGACCCGGAAAGCGGCGAAAGGGAGAGUAACGCGUGGAUACCUACCCUCAGGUCCGGGAUAGCGGCGGGAAACUGCCGGUAAUACCGGAUGAUAUCUCUGGAUCAAAGGUGUGAUUCCGCCUGAGGAUGGGUCCGCGUCCUAUUAGCUUGUUGGUGGGGUAAUGGCCUACCAAGGCGACGAUGGGUAGCGGGUGUGAGAGCAUGGCCCGUCUCACUGGGACUGAGACACUGCCCAGACACCUACGGGUGGCUGCAGUCGAGAAUCUUCCGCAAUGGGCGCAAGCCUGACGGAGCGACGCCGCGUGCGGGAUGAAGGCUUUCGGGUUGUAAACCGCUGUCAGAGGGGAACAAAUCCAUAAGGGCUAUCCCUUAUGGUUGAGUGAUCCUCAGAGGAAGCGCAGGCUAAGUUC